UUUCAAAAAUGUUUUUGGCACUAUGGUUUUGGUAAGAUCCAGGUUAACUGAAGCUUGUCAGAAUUGCUUUCUUCAGAAAAUGUCAACAUAUCAUUAGACAGUUGACCACGGACCAUAGCUCACGUGCUCUAGGUAUGGACAUAGCUUGUCUAAUCUCCAAUCGUUGGCAGGGAAUGGAGCAUUUGCCCUUCUGUAUGACCACAGCUACUCUCACUUGGAGGAUCAUCAAUAGACAAGGGUCAACCAGCUCCAGAGGAAGCCUCUUCUACAGCUCAGAGAACCUAUUCCUUUAAGUUUCCUCACCUCUGUUCCAAUGCCAGACAAGACUUUUACUGCAAACACUUCAGUAUCAUUUCUAAUAAAGAUAGCUUCCUAGCUGAAUAUCUCCAACAUA
Homo sapiens (human) is the source of this 394-nucleotide long non-coding RNA. RefSeq lists it as uncharacterized. The record is from RefSeq and is a predicted model, not a curated record. Lineage: Eukaryota; Metazoa; Chordata; Mammalia; Primates; Hominidae. The transcript is spliced from 3 exons.